Molecule: ribosomal RNA, 497 nt
Filed under: uncultured bacterium
Lineage: Bacteria
Description: partial 16S ribosomal RNA
Rfam family: Bacterial small subunit ribosomal RNA
Source: RNAcentral
GAUGAACGCUGGCGGCGUGCCUAAUACAUGCAAGUCGAGCGAACAGACGAGGAGCUUGCUCCUCUGACGUUAGCGGCGGACGGGUGAGUAAAACGUGGAUAACCUACCUAUAAGACUGGGAUAACUUCGGGAAACCGGAGCUAAUACCGGAUAAUAUAUUGAACCGCAUGGUUCAAUAGUGAAAGACGGUUUUGCUGUCACUUAUAGAUGGAUCCGCGCCGCAUUAGCUAGUUGGUAAGGUAACGGCUUACCAAGGCAACGAUGCGUAGCCGACCUGAGAGGGUGAUCGGCCACACGGGAACUGAGACACGGUCCAGACUCCUACGGGAGGCAGCAGUAGGGAAUCUUCCGCAAUGGGCGAAAGCCUGACGGAGCAACGCCGCGUGAGUGAUGAAGGUCUUCGGAUCGUAAAACUCUGUUAUUAGGGAAGAACAAAUGUGUAAGUAACUAUGCACGUCUUGACGGUACCUAAUCAGAAAGCCACGGCUAACUACGUG